Molecule: non-coding RNA, 73 nt
Organism: Phyllopteryx taeniolatus (common seadragon)
Lineage: Eukaryota; Metazoa; Chordata; Actinopteri; Syngnathiformes; Syngnathidae
Source: the annotation of a RefSeq genome assembly
GGCCUCAUAGCUCAGUGGUUAGAGCACUGGUCUCGUAAACGAGCGAUCGUGAGUUCAAAUCUGACUGUGGCCU